CGCGUAGGCGGCUUUGCAAGCCAGAGGUGAAAUGCCUGAGCUCAACUUAGGAAUUGCCUUUGGGACUGCAAGGCUUCGAGGACUGGAGAGGUGAGUGGAAUUCCCAGUGUAGAGGUGAAAUUCGUAGAUAUUGGGAAGAACACCAGUGGCGAAGGCGGCUCACUGGCCAGUUUCUGACGCUAAAGUGCGAAAGCGUGGGGAUCAAACAGGAUUAGAUACCCUGGUAGUCCACGCUGUAAACGAUGAGUGCUAGGCGUCGGCACGCUUGCGUGUCGGUGCCGCAGCUAACGCGUGAAGCACUCCGCCUGGGGAGUACGGUCGCAAGAUUAAA
Molecule: ribosomal RNA, 331 nt
Filed under: uncultured Pseudomonadota bacterium
Lineage: Bacteria; Pseudomonadati; Pseudomonadota
Description: bacterial SSU rRNA
Rfam family: Bacterial small subunit ribosomal RNA
Source: RNAcentral